This 465-nucleotide ribosomal RNA is filed under the name Vreelandella stevensii. Its description in RNAcentral is "partial 16S ribosomal RNA". It matches the Rfam family "Bacterial small subunit ribosomal RNA", at positions 338 to 795 of the family's 1533-position model. Lineage: Bacteria; Pseudomonadati; Pseudomonadota; Gammaproteobacteria; Oceanospirillales; Halomonadaceae. The record is from RNAcentral.
CCUACGGGAGGCAGCAGUGGGGAAUAUUGGACAAUGGGGGGAACCCUGAUCCAGCCAUGCCGCGUGUGUGAAGAAGGCCCUCGGGUUGUAAAGUACUUUCAGUGAGGAAGAACGCCUGGUGGUUAAUACCCAUCAGGAAAGACAUCACUCACAGAAGAAGCACCGGCUAACUCCGUGCCAGCAGCCGCGGUAAUACGGAGGGUGCGAGCGUUAAUCGGAAUUACUGGGCGUAAAGCGCGCGUAGGUGGCUUGAUAAGCCGGUUGUGAAAGCCCCGGGCUCAACCUGGGAACGGCAUCCGGAACUGUCAAGCUAGAGUGCAGGAGAGGAAGGUAGAAUUCCCGGUGUAGCGGUGAAAUGCGUAGAGAUCGGGAGGAAUACCAGUGGCGAAGGCGGCCUUCUGGACUGACACUGACACUGAGGUGCGAAAGCGUGGGUAGCAAACAGGAUUAGAUACCCUGGUAGUC